UUUUUUUGUUUGACUUUGGUUUUUUGGGUGAAAUUGAAGAAUUUUUUGAAGGUGGAUUUAAGAUUUUAAAAUUUAUUGAGCGAGCCAGAUUAGUACCUGGUUAGAUAAAAGUUAAAAGGGCAGAAGUAAAGUUGUAUUUAAACUGUAAGAAUAUUGGCAGGUUAUUAAAUUAUCUUUGGAGGCUGAGUAGUAAUUGAGAGCCCUCAUUUACAACUUUUAGUUUAGGCUCAUGUAUGAUCGUUUAUUUUAUUCUUAAGGAUUGUAAUUUUAGUUGUUUUUCUGUAAAAAUAGAUAUAUACUUGGCUUAUAUAGAAAAUUUAAUUUGGCCUACAGUAUAAUAUUAUUUGGAUGGUACUGGUAGUAGGUACCUGAAAUUGUAAAAGACAGUAAGUUUCUCUUAAUGUGGGACUGAAGUUUAUUUAAUAACGGUACAAAUCAUCCAUCAAUUGCCUAAAGGGGAGUAAGUUG
This 468-nucleotide non-coding RNA is filed under the name Contracaecum sp. 1 CJK-2020. Lineage: Eukaryota; Metazoa; Nematoda; Chromadorea; Rhabditida; Anisakidae. The record is from RNAcentral.